Molecule: long non-coding RNA, 3494 nt
Filed under: Citrus x clementina
Lineage: Eukaryota; Viridiplantae; Streptophyta; Magnoliopsida; Sapindales; Rutaceae
Description: Citrus clementina (C. clementina) long non-coding RNA (CCLE_LNC005342)
Source: RNAcentral
AAUAAUAGUGGUGACAAUGAACAUGUAAGAAGAAUUGUUUUUUUUUUAUUGCAAUUGAAAAAAAAACCUUAAAAAAUUAAAUGAGCUAAAAAUUUUAUUUUUUUACAUAGAGGGGCAGUUUUAUCAUUCAAUCAAAAGUUAAACGGAGACGUUAAACUUAACUGGGAAAAUAACGGAAUUGGGGGCGUGGUGCAAAAAUAUCAAUUUUUUUAGGUGCGCAGUGUAAUAAGUCAAAUUUAUUGGGGACCUGAUGUAAAAUAUCAAUUUAUUUAGGGGUAGGUUACAAAUUUCCCUUAGAAAAUGUUUAUAUAUAUUUUGACGUCUGGAGAACAAUAAAUGUGACAAUAAAUGUGAAAAUGACUUGAUGGGAUACCCACGUGCAUGCCGACAUGCAUGUCUUUAUGGACAAAUGUAUCACAUGCUCAAGACUUGUCGAACCAGGCCAAAUUGAUACGUUAUACGUACAUGCAUACGUAUAUAUUCUUGGUUGAGAUCUUCAGUUAGAACUCAUAGAUUUUAAACAUCAUUUCUGAAUUAAAUGUGAACUUCAUAUACAUAAUAAAAAAAUAUAAUUCCCCAGAAAUAUAUAUAUUUAUGCUCAAACUUGAAAGAAAAGUUAAAUUAAUAAUCAGUUUUGUUGAUUGACUGUGUACACAUAUUUCGCUGCGUCUAAACUGUUGACCAACAGCCACCAUAUUUGCAGUGUUCAUAAUGGCAAUGAAUUAAUAACGUCAAGCCCAUGUGAGAGCUUUCGGUUGGUUGGAUGCUAUCACCGGCCUAUUAAUUUCUUCCUCUCAACUUCAUUCAUUCUCAAAAUAUUAUAUUGAAUUUAACAAUUUUAUAUCCCAAGACCAAGUCAAGAUUCUACUGUUACAAGUAUUUGAUAGGAUCCAUUUGCAAGUAAUCAUUCAUAAGUUCUCUCUAUUUCUGAAAGACUUUAUGCCGUAUGCUUUGCUUUGGCAUCGAUUCUUUUGUCUAUGAAUUCAUGGAGCAUUUCCAUUUGGCAUCUUUUUGUGGGACAAGUACUUAUAUUCAAUUCUUCUUUACGUUAUAAUUUGGUCGAUCAAGCACGGCUUUCAAAGGGAUAUAUUCAUGUUCUUCAAUUUAAUGUUCUUUUUUUCCUUCUUUUCAAAUGACAAUAUAUAAUAAAUUAAAAAUAUGCAAGAACCUUGAUGAUGCAGUCGAGAUAUCAUGACUCACAAUAAAUUUCAUGUACUUCUAAACAUCUGAAAGAAAGUUUACUCCCAAUUUUACAUACACGAGGACUUGAUCCAAGCAAGAGGCAAAUUGGAUGAUUCCUUUCUCUCAAAAGUUUUUCAUCGAAAUAUAACUAUUGUACAUGAAUUUCGUACGCCUGUUUCGAUUAAAUUCUAUGAAAUGAUUGUGUUAUUUAAUGAAAUGAUACGAUGGUUUUAUCGAAACCUUUUUGUAGUCUCGCUAAAAUAGGGUUUAACAAAACCAGGCGUUAAAGCAGUUAGGGUUUCGAGUUGUAUGGCUAUGGCAAUUAAUUAUGAAAAGAGAUAGCUUAAAGAGGCAGCAAAGGCCUCAAAAAGCAGGCACGAGAGAAGCUAACCCACAAGGACAAAAAAGCGUGGUUCAUCAAUCAUCACAUCAAAACCUAAGAGUGCUAUAAGAACCACGCCUGCGGAGGGUAUUUGAUUGUGUUGAAUUUUUUACCAACUUUUUAAAAAGAUACAAUUAGUAGUUACUAAAUAAAAAUAUAAACUUAAUUAAAUUUUAUUUAUAUAUUAUUAUAGGAAAAUUAUCAAUCAUAUACUCUUAAAUGACACUUGUAUCAAACGUGUGUGAACACUUUUCAAGUGUAUCACUCGUAUACCCUAAGUUGACAAAAUAUUUUUGCCGUCCAUCAAUCUGUUAACUUCCGUUAGAAAGUUAACAGAAUUAUGGCAAAUUGACUAUUUUGCCCUUAAAACUCAAAAUGAGGUAAAAAAAUAAAUUUACCCUAAAAAUUAACGUAAAUUUUCAAUACACAAUUUUUUUAUUUUUUUAUUAAUAAUACAUUUUUUAUUAAAAAAAUAAAUUAUUAAUGGUACAUAUUAUUAACAAUUAUCUAUAAAAAAAUAUCCAUAUUAUACCAUAAAAAAUUAUUAACAACAUAUUAUUUACAAUUAUACAUAUUGCACCAUAAAAAUUUCCAGUUGGAGUUUGGAGGAGUAGAUCUUCAAAAAUGUAGGUUAAAUUUUGGAGGAGUAGAUUUGGUUGUAAAAUAUUUUUUUUAGCAAUUAUUAAUAAUUAUCGGAUAAAUGGGAUGACAUGUCAUUUUUAUCAAUAUAUAUCAUAUGUCAUGUCAUUUUUUACUAGGCAAAUAGGAUGACAUGUCAUUUUUUUAAUAAAAAUUUCGUCAAUCUUAAAAGACUAGAUUACCCUUAUAAUGUCAACGCUUGCAAACGGAAGUUAACGGAUUGGUGGACGGCAUAAGUGUUUUGUCAACUUAGGGUAUACGAGUGAUACACUUGAAAAGUGCUCACACACGUUUGAUACGGGUGUCAUUUAAGGGUAUAAGGCUGAAAAUUUCCUAUUAUUAUAUAUGUACGUAUUAUAAACAAUUGAUUACAAUUCAGCUCAACAUUAAAUUCAAGAGAAAUUAUCAAUCGUAUACCCUUAGUUUACUUCUUAUCAAAUUUAUCACAACACUUUCAGGGCAUAUCAGUUGUCCACCUUAAGUUGACAAAAUGUAUAUGCCGUCCACCAAACCGUUAGUUGCCGUUUAAAUAUGAUGACGUUAGAGGGGUAAUUUGGUCUUUUCAUAUGAUACAAGUGAUAAUUUUAGGGUAUAUAAGUGAUAAUAAAAGAUUUUAAAGGUAUAUAAGUGAUAAUUUUUAAGUGUAAAAUCAUCAAUUCGCUACAACUCUGUUAACUUUCAAAUGACAGCUAACAGUUUAGUGGUCGGCAUAUAACUUUUGUCAAUUUAGGGUAGACGAUUGAUGCACUCUUAAAAGUGUUAUAAUAUUUUUAAUAAAAGAAUAAAUUUAGCGUAAACCAAUGAUAAUUUUCCUAAAUUAAAUCCAUAAUUGAUAUACAUGAUUGUUCAAGAUAGCAAGUGAUUCUAGAUCGGUUUCAUUAGUCGGGUGUACCUUUCCAAACCGGAAUUUUGGGUUGGGUUGCAUUAACUUUCUUGAUGAAGAAACCAAUUGGCACGUGACAGUUGAUACUCGGCCAAUAAACAAGUAGUAAUUAACGGUUUGGUUUGGUUGGUACUGUGAUUUGAUGUGAGAUCGUUGGUGCAAAAUUAUGAUUUUGCCCCAUAUUUGAAUUAUAAAGAGUUAGAGCUGUCAAAACAAGUUAUCGGGUCGUGUUCAUAUCGUAUUAAAUUUAGGUCGACCCAAAUCUGACCCAUUUAAUAAUCGUGUCAAAAUAUUAAGACCCAAAUCUGAUACGGAAAAAUAAUCAAGUUACCCAAUAACCCGCUUAAUAUCUAUACAUUGAAUAAAAUUUAUAUCAAAUAUUUAUAUACUGUCAUACAUACAUAAUUU